CUACAUUUUUCAGUAGAUUGCUCUAGGUUAUAGCCACUAACAAUUACUUAUACAUAAAAAUUUUCUUUUGAGUCAUUAGCCAAUUUGGGGGGCCUCUCAGGAGAAACUGCAUAAUUCACUGGGUGAAUGCAAGUUCAUUGCUCUUGGAGGCUGUGAUAGCAUAAUCAUUGCUUGCUGUAUUCAUGGUCAGUACACCUUCUGAUUUGUUUUUAGUAGUAGUUUUGCCAUAUUCAAAGAAGAGCUCAAUCUGAGGAGACUCCUUGAUUUGACCUUACUUUGGCAUAGCUAGCAUAUUACCUUAAGUUAGUGUUUGCCAUCUAUUUUGUUCCCUGACAUUCUCUGUUGACGUUUUAUGCCCCGCCCCCCGUGUCCAGCUCCCCUCCUCACAAUCCCUGCCCCCUGCUGCCAUCUUUAGCACUGGAAAGUUAAGAGUUUUGAUCUCAGAGUUCAUCAACUCAAGCUUUUGCUUUUUAUUUGUAAAAGAACCAUGUGAAGCUGGGCUCAGUGGCAUACACCUGUAGUCCCAGGUACUUGGGAGGCUGAGGCAGGAGGAUUAUUCGAACUCAGGAGUAUGGGUCCAGCCUGGAUAACGUAAUGAGACCUCCAUCUUGAAAAAGGA
RNAcentral lists this long non-coding RNA (619 nucleotides) under Homo sapiens (human). RNAcentral describes it as "HSALNT0164258". The record is from RNAcentral. Lineage: Eukaryota; Metazoa; Chordata; Mammalia; Primates; Hominidae.